Molecule: ribosomal RNA, 601 nt
Filed under: uncultured bacterium
Lineage: Bacteria
Description: bacterial SSU rRNA
Rfam family: Bacterial small subunit ribosomal RNA
Source: RNAcentral
CAAGGCCUUUACUGACGCUAAAGCUCGAAGGUGCGGGUAUCGAACAGGAUUAGAUACCCUGGUAGUCCGCACGGUAAACGAUGGAUGCCCGCUGUUUGCGAUAUACUGUGAGCGGCCAAGAGAAAUCGUUAAGCAUCCCACCUGGGGAGUACGCCGGCAACGGUGAAACUCAAAGGAAUUGACGGGGGCCCGCACAAGCGGAGGAACAUGUGGUUUAAUUCGAUGAUACGCGAGGAACCUUACCCGGGCUUGAACUGCAGGAGAACGAUUCAGAGAUGAUGAGGUCCUUCGGGACUCCUGUGGAGGUGCUGCAUGGUUGUCGUCAGCUCGUGCCGUGAGGUGUCGGCUUAAGUGCCAUAACGAGCGCAACCCCUUUCGUUAGUUGCCAUCAGGUAAUGCUGGGCACUCUGGCGAUACUGCCACCGUAAGGUGUGAGGAAGGUGGGGAUGACGUCAAAUCAGCACGGCCCUUACGUCCGGGGCUACACACGUGUUACAAUGGGUGGUACAGAGAGCUGGUCGUCUGCAAAUGCGAUCAAAUCCUAAAAGCCAUCCUCAGUUCGGAUUGGGGUCUGCAACCCGACCCCAUGAAGCUGGAUUCG